This 1012-nucleotide long non-coding RNA is filed under the name Homo sapiens (human). RNAcentral describes it as "HSALNT0342261". The record is from RNAcentral. Lineage: Eukaryota; Metazoa; Chordata; Mammalia; Primates; Hominidae.
CUGACUCCAGGGCUCAAGUGAUCCUUCCACUUAAGCCUCCCGAAUAGCUGGGGCUACAGGUGUGCCCCACCACACCCGGCUCAUUUUAUUAAUUCUUGGUAGAGACCAGGUCUCUCUCUGUUGCCCAGGCCAGUCUCGAACUCCUGGCCUCAAGCGAUCCUCCCACCUCGGCCUCCCAAAGGACUGGGAUUACAGGUACGAGUCACUGCGCCCAGGCUUUUCUCCCUUUUGACUCAUUUUGAGGCCCCCGUCGUAGGGUACACGCCCUGGGAAUCGGGGGUCUUCCAGUAUAGGGAACCACCGAGAUGCGGGCCCUCCGAAGUCCUAGAGAGGGCGCCUCGGCCGCCGGCACCCGCCACACUUCCGGCCUUUGUGGGCCGCAGCGACGGCGGUCUGCGGCUGUCGGUUCUGUUUGUUGCUGUCACUGCUGUUUGUUCUUGCCAGCGGCUAGGGUCUGGCUGUUUUGCCCAGAAUGGAGUGCAGUGGCGUGAUGGUCUCGGCUGACAGCAGCCUCGACCUCCUGGGCUCAAGCCUUGGCCUCCCAAAGUGCUGGGAUUACAGCCCCACCUGCAGAGUCAAGUCCCUCCUCCCACCUCAGCACUGCUAGAAAAGAGCUUCAGGAUGGAGCCACACAUGUCACUCAAGCCCAAGGGUCAGUCAACAGCCCACAGCCCUAAAUUCAUCUGUGUCCAAUGCCAGACCCUGCAACUGCUGAUUUACAUGAAUCAACUCCAUCAUGCAAGCCUCAUGACAUCCCAAUGAGCCACCAUCCUGUGAGGAAGCCCAGAGCACAUGAAGAGACCACCUGCACAUGUUCAGAUCCACUGCCCCAGCUAAGAUCUCCGCUGACAGCCAGACCAAUCACCAAUCUUAGGAGCUGGCGAGCCUUCAGAUGGUCCAACCUUUGAGGCCCCCCAGAGGAGCCAGGUGGAGCAUAGAUGAGCCAUCCAUGUGGAUCCCUCCACCAAAUGGAAGAUUUAGGAGCAAAAUAAACAAUGUUGUCAUUGCUUUC